CAACUUGUGGAUAGAACCCAGGUGGUGGAGGUGGAGGAGGAUUACCGGCAGGUGGGGAUCCACCUGGCGGAGGAUAUCCAUGAGAAGGAUAUUGCCCCGCAGCGUGCCCAGCAUAGCUCGAGGAACCACCUAGCAGAGAAUACCCAUCUGGUGGAUACCCUUGCUGAAGAUAUCCCUGUGGAGGAUAUGACCCUCGGUGCAUGUAUUGCCC
RNAcentral lists this long non-coding RNA (211 nucleotides) under Eucalyptus grandis. RNAcentral describes it as "long non-coding RNA (EGRA_LNC002300)". Lineage: Eukaryota; Viridiplantae; Streptophyta; Magnoliopsida; Myrtales; Myrtaceae. The record is from RNAcentral.